This 509-nucleotide ribosomal RNA is filed under the name uncultured bacterium. Its description in RNAcentral is "partial 16S ribosomal RNA". It matches the Rfam family "Bacterial small subunit ribosomal RNA", at positions 28 to 523 of the family's 1533-position model. The record is from RNAcentral.
GACGAACGCUGGCGGCGUGCUUAACACAUGCAAGUGGAGCGACGAACCAGGGCUUGCCCUGGGGCAGAGCCGCGAACGGGUGAGUAACACGUGGGUAACCUGCCCAGAUGACCGGGACAACCAGAGGAAACUCGGGCUAAUACCGGAUGUGCUUUCCCCACAUCAGUGGGGUUCGGAAAGGUAGCUUCGGAUUCCGCCUCGGGAUGGGCCCGCGGCCCAUUUGCUUGUUGGUGAGGUAACGGCUCACCAAGGCUUCGAUGGGUAGCUGGUCUGAGAGGACGAUCAGCCACACUGGGACUGAGACACGGCCCAGACUCCUACGGGAGGCAGCAGUGGGGAAUCUUGCGCAAUGCGCGAAAGCGUGACGCAGCAACGCCGCGUGCGGGAAGACGGCCUUCGGGUUGUAAACCGCUUUCAGUUGGGACGAAGCCUUUGCGGUUAAUAGCCGUGGAAGGUGACGGUACCUUCAGAAGAAGCCCCGGCUAACUACGUGCCAGCAGCCGCCGUAA